AAUGAUUCAGAGAAUCUACAAGGGUUGGAAAGAUGCUAGGUUGGAAGGUCAGUGGAUUUUUUUUCUGUUGUUUAUUUGUCAAAGAAGCUGGAUAAAGUUGCUAUAAAUGAAGUCACAAUUUGGAGGAUUUCAAGCAGAAUGUUUCUCCUUUACAAUGAAUCAGAACAAAACGCUCAAGGAUUUUAUGACACCAAGCAUGCUGCCUUCUAUUAGGUUUUUAAGAAGAUUGAAAAUUGGUCGGAGAAUAUUAAUGUUAACAUCAGGUUAACAUGGUUUUCUUGUCAAGGUGUUCUAAUAUAUCUUGGAAUGUUCAAACGCUUAAGAAGAGAGCUGAAAGGUAUGGAAGGUUCAUUGGAAUGGAUAAGAAAACAAUUCAUUUCUAGUUUUUCGUUCAUGGUGUAUCAUCCAAAUUUGAUGAAAGGAUAAAAUUGAAGAGUGGUGAUGUCGUCCAUUAGAUUAAUGUUAUGAAAAUGCAUAUUUUUUUGCUUUCUUAAGGUUGGAGGUAGGUUUGACAUUGAUGUCUAUAUUAGAUUUAGAAAUGUGUCCAUAUUGUAAUAAAUAUAUAAUUAUUUUCUAUGUAUUUAAACGAUAAAUAAAUAAAUUUCACAUUUCACUGUUA
Molecule: long non-coding RNA, 619 nt
Filed under: Gossypium barbadense (sea-island cotton)
Lineage: Eukaryota; Viridiplantae; Streptophyta; Magnoliopsida; Malvales; Malvaceae
Description: long non-coding RNA (GBAR_LNC021943)
Source: RNAcentral